Long non-coding RNA from Podarcis raffonei (Aeolian wall lizard), 1291 nucleotides. RefSeq lists it as uncharacterized. The transcript has 3 exons. NCBI's taxonomy places the organism in Eukaryota, Metazoa, Chordata, Lepidosauria, Squamata, Lacertidae. The record is from RefSeq and is a predicted model, not a curated record.
CAAACAACAAAGCUGGCCGUAGACUUUUACGUGGCGUGGUGGGGGGAGGCUGAAGGGGUCGAGGGGUGUGGACGACGGCAAGCUGGGCACAGAUUAGGGUGGCCCUGAGGCGAGAAUGGGAAGAAGCAAUCGAAACAUGGCGGAAAGGGGCCGCAGCGCAUUUUUGCAACUUUUUAGAAUGCGAUCCGAAGAAAAGAGCUUCUUCACCGGGGGAGGGGGUGCAUUUACUUUUUCUCCCUCACGUACAAAAGAGAAGUUGGAUCAGGCUACAUAAGGACGUGAUUGCGGCCUGCAGAAAAGGUGGUAGAUACGGGAGAGGGAGGAAGGGAACUGAUUUGUGGGGCCCUGAAUUUCCGCGGCCAUUGCAAUCAACGAGCUGUAUUCAUUUAUUUUAAGAUUUGUAUCCCGCUUUGUCACCGGAACUUCGAAAGCGGCCGUCAGUAUAAGAAACCCCUCUAAAAACCAGACCAGCAGAGUUAGUCGGGUUGUUUAAUGGCGGCUGGAGUUACGGGGAAUGCGUAUGGUGAGCCCUGAAAGUUCACCGUGGAAGAUUCUCGCAGCAUUUCUCCAGCCGUUUUAUUUUAUGUAUUCUAAGCGAAUAGGCAUACUCCAGGCUGAGCAAAUGGAGGAGUCUGCUGAUGACACUGGGGAGCCCCAAACAGCCGGCAGACUUGUUUGCAUCAAUAAUGACAGAGUCAAGGCCGUGCAAGAAAGCGGACAAUGAAAUUAACCAGACAGUGGCUGUGCUUUGUAAGGAUUUUUCCAUUCUGAGAUUUCUUCAGCAGCUGUGUUAGAGAUGAAAUAGUUCUACCUAUGCUACCCUUUCUACGUGACAUUUAAUUGAAGUGUACUAGCAUACAAAUAGCUGGGACCCAAAUACCUAAAGAAAGAUGUGCAUCCUUUCUGAUGCUGGAGGCCCAGACCAUGCAAAACAUUAUAGGUCAGAAUCAGCCCCUGGAUUUAUGCAUGCGACAACGGCCGUGAGAGUUCUAAUAGCACAAGGAUGGAAGACUGAAGAAACCCCAACUAAAGAAUCAUGGCAAGAAAAAUUGAUGGACUAUGCAGAACUGGCAAAAUUGACAUAUAAGCUACGCUACAAGGAUAACUGUGACUUUAAAGAUGAAUGGGAACCCUUUCCCAUUUGAAGACGCAACAAAGCGAACUGGACUCCUUGGCUGGCUUUGUUCACAAACUUUUCUAUUGAUGACAAUCAGCUAAAUAGUUUGAGAAUCUAUACAACUGUGUAACAUGCAGAAAACAGCAUUCUUAGAGAAAUCAAAGACUGGAACUA